This 530-nucleotide ribosomal RNA is filed under the name uncultured bacterium. Its description in RNAcentral is "bacterial SSU rRNA". It matches the Rfam family "Bacterial small subunit ribosomal RNA", at positions 355 to 896 of the family's 1533-position model. The record is from RNAcentral.
UGGGGAAUAUUGCACAAUGGGCGGAAGCCUGAUGCAGCGACGCCGCGUGGGGGAUGAAGGCCUUCGGGUUGUAAACUCCUUUCGACAGGGACGAAGCUUUUGUGACGGUACCUGUAUAAGAAGCACCGGCUAACUACGUGCCAGCAGCCGCGGUAAUACGUAGGGUGCGAGCGUUGUCCGGAAUUACUGGGCGUAAAGAGCUCGUAGGUGGUUUGUCGCGUCGUCUGUGAAAUUCCGGGGCUUAACUCCGGGCGUGCAGGCGAUACGGGCUGACUUGAGUGCUGCAGGGGAGACUGGAAUUCCUGGUGUAGCGGUGAAAUGCGCAGAUAUCAGGAGGAACACCGAUGGCGAAGGCAGGUCUCUGGGCAGUAACUGACGCUGAGGAGCGAAAGCAUGGGUAGCGAACAGGAUUAGAUACCCUGGUAGUCCAUGCCGUAAACGGUGGGCGCUAGGUGUAGGGGGCUUCCACGUCUUCUGUGCCGUAGCUAACGCAUUAAGCGCCCCGCCUGGGGAGUACGGCCGCAAGGCUA